Molecule: ribosomal RNA, 253 nt
Filed under: uncultured bacterium
Lineage: Bacteria
Description: partial 16S ribosomal RNA
Rfam family: Bacterial small subunit ribosomal RNA
Source: RNAcentral
UACAGAGGUCUCAAGCGUUGUUCGGAUUCAUUGGGCGGAAAGGGUGCGUAGGCGGCGCGGUAAGUCGGGUGUGAAAUCUUGGAGCUUAACUCCGAAACUGCAUUCGAUACUGCCGUGCUUGAGGACUGGAAAGGAGACUGGAAUUUACGGUGUAGCGGUGAAAUGCGUAGAUAUCGUAAGGAAGACCAGUGGCGAAGGCGGGUCUCUGGACAGUUCCUGACGCUGAGGCACGAAGGUCAGGGGAGCAAACGGG